ACACUCCUGCGGGAGGCAGCAGUGGGGAAUUUUGGACAAUGGGCGAAAGCCUGAUCCAGCCAUGCCGCGUGCAGGAUGAAGGCCUUCGGGUUGUAAACUGCUUUUGUACGGAACGAAACGGCCUUUUCUAAUAAAGAGGGCUAAUGACGGUACCGUAAGAAUAAGCACCGGCUAACUACGUGCCAGCAGCCGCGGUAAUACGUAGGGUGCAAGCGUUAAUCGGAAUUACUGGGCGUAAAGCGUGCGCAGGCGGUUAUGUAAGACAGUUGUGAAAUCCCCGGGCUCAACCUGGGAACUGCAUCGGUGACUGCAUAGCUAGAGUACGGUAGAGGGGGAUGGAAUUCCGCGUGUAGCAGUGAAAUGCGUAGAUAUGCGGAGGAACACCGAUGGCGAAGGCAAUCCCCUGGACCUGUACUGACGCUCAUGCACGAAAGCGUGGGGAGCAAACAGGAUUAGAAACCCCAGUAGUCCCAUGAU
This 477-nucleotide ribosomal RNA is filed under the name uncultured organism. Its description in RNAcentral is "partial 16S ribosomal RNA". It matches the Rfam family "Bacterial small subunit ribosomal RNA", at positions 333 to 801 of the family's 1533-position model. The record is from RNAcentral.